This 468-nucleotide ribosomal RNA is filed under the name uncultured bacterium. Its description in RNAcentral is "partial 16S ribosomal RNA". It matches the Rfam family "Bacterial small subunit ribosomal RNA", at positions 28 to 507 of the family's 1533-position model. The record is from RNAcentral.
GACGAACGCUGGCGGCGUGCUUAACACAUGCAAGUCGAACGGAAAGGCCCUGCUUUUGUGGGGUGCUCGAGUGGCGAACGGGUGAGUAACACGUGAGUAACCUGCCCUUGACUUUGGGAUAAAUUCAGGAAACUGGGGCUAAUACCGGAUAGGAGCUCCUGCUGCAUGGUGGGGGAUGGAAAGUUUCGGCGGUUGGGGAUGGACUCGCGGCUUAUCAGCUUGUUGGUGGGGUAGUGGCUUACCAAGGCUUUGACGGGUAGCCGGCCUGAGAGGGUGACCGGCCACAUUGGUACUGAGAUACGGCCCAGACUCCUACGGGAGGCAGCAGUGGGGAAUAUUGCACAAUGGGCGGAAGCCUGAUGCAGCAACGCCGCGUGCGGGAUGACGGCCUUCGGGUUGUAAACCGCUUUCGCCUGUGACGAAGCGUGAGUGACGGUAAUGGGUAAAGAAGCACCGGCUAACUACGUG